Molecule: ribosomal RNA, 867 nt
Filed under: uncultured Pseudomonas sp.
Lineage: Bacteria; Pseudomonadati; Pseudomonadota; Gammaproteobacteria; Pseudomonadales; Pseudomonadaceae
Description: bacterial SSU rRNA
Rfam family: Bacterial small subunit ribosomal RNA
Source: RNAcentral
UAGGGAUGUCAGUCGUCAUGUGCUAGUCGAGCGGAUGCAAGAGGAGCUUGCUCCUGGAUUCAGCGGCGGACGGGUGAGUAAUGCCUAGGAAUCUGCCUGGUAGUGGGGGAUAACGUCCGGAAACGGGCGCUAAUACCGCAUACGUCCUGAGGGAGAAAGUGGGGGAUCUUCGGACCUCACGCUAUCAGAUGAGCCUAGGUCGGAUUAGCUAGUUGGUGGGGUAAAGGCCUACCAAGGCGACGAUCCGUAACUGGUCUGAGAGGAUGAUCAGUCACACUGGAACUGAGACACGGUCCAGACUCCUACGGGAGGCAGCAGUGGGGAAUAUUGGACAAUGGGCGAAAGCCUGAUCCAGCCAUGCCGCGUGUGUGAAGAAGGUCUUCGGAUUGUAAAGCACUUUAAGUUGGGAGGAAGGGCAGUAAGUUAAUACCUUGCUGUUUUGACGUUACCAACAGAAUAAGCACCGGCUAACUUCGUGCCAGCAGCCGCGGUAAUACGAAGGGUGCAAGCGUUAAUCGGAAUUACUGGGCGUAAAGCGCGCGUAGGUGGUUCAGCAAGUUGGAUGUGAAAUCCCCGGGCUCAACCUGGGAACUGCAUCCAAAACUACUGAGCUAGAGUACGGUAGAGGGUGGUGGAAUUUCCUGUGUAGCGGUGAAAUGCGUAGAUAUAGGAAGGAACACCAGUGGCGAAGGCGACCACCUGGACUGAUACUGACACUGAGGUGCGAAAGCGUGGGGAGCAAACAGGAUUAGAUACCCUGGUAGUCCACGCCGUAAACGAUGUCGACUAGCCGUUGGGAUCCUUUGAGAUCUUAGUGGCGCAGCUAACGCGAUUAAGUCGACCGCCUGGGAAUGACGGCCGGCAAGU